This is a long non-coding RNA of Mauremys mutica (yellowpond turtle), 450 nucleotides long. RefSeq lists it as uncharacterized. The transcript is spliced from 3 exons. NCBI's taxonomy places the organism in Eukaryota, Metazoa, Chordata, Testudines, Geoemydidae. The record is from RefSeq and is a predicted model, not a curated record.
GGAGGGCGGGAUGUGGAACACACCUGAGCAACACGUCUCGAAGAACGCCAGUUAUGGAACAGGCCUAGACUCGUGCAGGUAUCUAGCAGGAAUUCCAUCUGCGCCUGCACCUAGGACCGAGACUUGCCCUUGAGCAGCCAGUCAUCCAGGUCUUGCAUCAGGGACUGGGAUUCCAUGGACAGCCCCAACAGCGAAACCCACGACGCCCGUCGCAUGGAGACAGCCAAGGCCAUCGAACAUGCCGCUGUGUCAGCCGCAUCUGAGGCCGCCUGGAGAGCUGCUUUCGCCGCUGCCGCACCCUUGUUGACUAGAGCCUUGAAUUCCUUCCUGUCCUUCUCUUGGAAGGAGAGCUUGAAUUUAGGCAGAGACCCCAACAAGUUAAAGCCAUACCUGCUCAGGAGUGCCUGAUGGUUUGCCACCCUGAGCUGGAAACUCGCAGAGGAAUAAACC